RNAcentral lists this ribosomal RNA (394 nucleotides) under uncultured bacterium. RNAcentral's name for it is "partial 16S ribosomal RNA". It matches the Rfam family "Bacterial small subunit ribosomal RNA", at positions 523 to 918 of the family's 1533-position model. The record is from RNAcentral.
AUACGUAGGGGGCUAGCGUUAUCCGGAAUUACUGGGCGUAAAGGGUGCGUAGGUGGUUUCUUAAGUCAGAAGUGAAAGGCUACGGCUCAACCGUAGUAAGCUUUUGAAACUAAGAGACUUGAGUGCAGGAGAGGAGAGUAGAAUUCCUAGUGUAGCGGUGAAAUGCGUAGAUAUUAGGAGGAAUACCAGUUGCGAAGGCGGCUCUCUGGACUGUAACUGACACUGAGGCACGAAAGCGUGGGGAGCAAACAGGAUUAGAUACCCUGGUAGUCCACGCCGUAAACGAUGAGUACUAGCUGUCGGGGGUUACCCCCCUCGGUGGCGCAGCUAACGCAUUAAGUACUCCGCCUGGGAAGUACGCUCGCAAGAGUGAAACUUAAAUGAAUUGACGGGG